AGAAGAUAUAUCAAAUCCAAAAUGUUGUAAAAAUAAAUACCAAAAAUUCAGAAAACAAAACCACCUCUAAGCAGUUGUUUUGGCAAUCUACUUCUUAUCUUCCUUCUCGGCCUCUGCAGCCUUCUUCAAUCUAGCUCCGACAUGUCGUGCAUUCAUCCUCUCAACACGUAGCUUGUCGUAUGCUUUGAACGAUUUCAUCUCCUCGGUGACCUUCACAAGCUCAACUGAUGCCUUCUCACGCCCAAUAGGUAGGUAUGGUCCUUGGACUUGGGUGGCAUUUGCAAGCUCCUCCGGAGUAGAAUCACCAGCCUUGAAUUUGCGUGCCCGUCUUGGGAAGACAACCACC
This 346-nucleotide unclassified non-coding RNA is filed under the name Hevea brasiliensis (rubber tree). Lineage: Eukaryota; Viridiplantae; Streptophyta; Magnoliopsida; Malpighiales; Euphorbiaceae. The record is from RNAcentral.